CCCCGCAAGGGGGGAAAGCGGCGAAAGGGAGAGUAACGCGUGGGUACCUGCCCCUUGGUCCGGAAUAGCUGCGGGAAACUGCAGGUAAUGCCGGAUAACAUCCUCGGAUCAAAGGUGUGAUUCCGCCGAGGGAGGGGCCCGCGUUCUAUUAGCUAGUUGGUAGGGUAAUGGCCUACCAAGGCGACGAUGGAUACCGGGUGUGAGAGCAUGACCCGGCUCACUGGGACUGAGACACUGCCCAGACACCUACGGGUGGCUGCAGUCGAGAAUCUUCGGCAAUGGGCGCAAGCCUGACCGAGCGACGCCGCGUGCGGGAUGAAGGCCUUCGGGUUGUAAACCGCUGUCAGUGGGGAGGAAAUGCCAUGGGGUUCUCUCCAUGGUUUGACCUAUCCGCAGAGGAAGGACGGGCUAAGUUCGUGCCAGCAGCCGCGGUAAGACGAACCGUCCAAACGUUAUUCGGAAUUAUUGGGCUUAAAGGGUGCGUAGGCUGUGCAGUAAGUUGGGUGUGAAAUCCCUCGGCUCAACCGAGGAACUGCGCCGAAUACUGCUGUGCUAGAGGAAGAUAGGGGUAAGCGGAACUGAUGGUGGAGCGGUGAAAUGCGUUGAUAUCAUCAGGAACACCGGUGGCGAAGGCGGCUUACUGGAUCUUUUCUGACGCUGAUGCACGAAAGCUAGGGGAGCGAACGGGAUUAGAUACCCCGGUAGUCCUAGCUGUAAACGAUGAGCACUUGGUCGGAGGCUCCUCCAUAGGCUUCUGGCC
This 760-nucleotide ribosomal RNA is filed under the name uncultured Planctomycetota bacterium. RNAcentral describes it as "bacterial SSU rRNA". It matches the Rfam family "Bacterial small subunit ribosomal RNA", at positions 75 to 847 of the family's 1533-position model. The record is from RNAcentral. Lineage: Bacteria; Pseudomonadati; Planctomycetota.